Molecule: ribosomal RNA, 568 nt
Filed under: Pseudomonas sp. 8D45
Lineage: Bacteria; Pseudomonadati; Pseudomonadota; Gammaproteobacteria; Pseudomonadales; Pseudomonadaceae
Description: bacterial SSU rRNA
Rfam family: Bacterial small subunit ribosomal RNA
Source: RNAcentral
UGCAAGUCGAGCGGUAGAGAGAAGCUUGCUUCUCUUGAGAGCGGCGGACGGGUGAGUAAUGCCUAGGAAUCUGCCUGGUAGUGGGGGAUAACGCUCGGAAACGGACGCUAAUACCGCAUACGUCCUACGGGAGAAAGCAGGGGACCUUCGGGCCUUGCGCUAUCAGAUGAGCCUAGGUCGGAUUAGCUAGUUGGUGAGGUAAUGGCUCACCAAGGCGACGAUCCGUAACUGGUCUGAGAGGAUGAUCAGUCACACUGGAACUGAGACACGGUCCAGACUCCUACGGGAGGCAGCAGUGGGGAAUAUUGGACAAUGGGCGAAAGCCUGAUCCAGCCAUGCCGCGUGUGUGAAGAAGGUCUUCGGAUUGUAAAGCACUUUAAGUUGGGAGGAAGGGCAGUAAAUUAAUACUUUGCUGUUUUGACGUUACCGACAGAAUAAGCACCGGCUAACUCUGUGCCAGCAGCCGCGGUAAUACAGAGGGUGCAAGCGUUAAUCGGAAUUACUGGGCGUAAAGCGCGCGUAGGUGGUUCGUUAAGUUGGAUGUGAAAUCCCCGGGCUCAACCUGGGA